This 3278-nucleotide long non-coding RNA is filed under the name Homo sapiens (human). RNAcentral's name for it is "HSALNT0090364". Lineage: Eukaryota; Metazoa; Chordata; Mammalia; Primates; Hominidae. The record is from RNAcentral.
CAGGAGGAAGGAACAACUCCAGACGCGCCACCUUAAGAGCUGUAACACUCACCGGGAAGGUCUGUAGCUUCACUCCUGAGCCAGCGAGACCACGAACCCACCAGAAGGGAGAAACUCCGAACACAUUCGAACAUCAGAAGGACCAAACUCCAGACGCGCCACCUUAAGAGCUGUAACACUCACUGCGAGGGUCCGCGGCUUCAUUCUUGAAGUCAGUGAGACCAAGAACCCACCAAUUCCGGACACAGUGGCUGGGAUUACAGGCACGUGCCACCAUGCCUGGCUAGUUUUUGUAUUUUUUGUAGAGACGGGAUUUUGCCAUGUUGCCCAGGCUGGUCUCGAACUCCUGGAGUCAAGUGAUCUGCCUGCCUCAGCCUUCCAAAGUGCUGGGAUUACAGGAAUUUAUUCUCAUUUUACAGAUGAGGAAACUGCAGCACAGAAAGUCUGUUACUUGACCAAAGUUACAUAGGUGAUAAGUGAUAGAAUGGGGAUUUGAACGUAGGCAAUUCUGUCUCAGCCCCAGCUUGUUCUCCCAUUCUAAAGAUCACAUCUUUGACUCAUUUUGUCUGCCUGAUUGCUUAUGGUGAUGCUUGGGGCCACAGGUCCUCACUGCAGACCUCCCAGGGGCAGGAGCCCUGCCCCUGAGCCCUAGACCAGGAGCCUUCCCCCUUCCUCCAAUUUUCAGCCUCUCUGCCCUGGACUCCUCCUUGGGCUGCCACCUAAUGCCAGUCUCCAAACAUUCCAGAUGCUAUCUCUCUGGCUGUGAUGGAGGCUCAACCAAUCAGACACUCUGGCCCAGGACUUUGAAUCAAGACAGAAGAGAGUCCACUUUUGUGGCAUCAGCAUCGAAUCUCCAAGACCAGCUCCUGAUAUGCCUAUUAGUAAGCAACCCAUUUCCAGAAAGUGGCUGGCUCAAACUUUUGACACCCAGGAGAUCAUCCAAACCGUUUUACAUACCACAGAUCACACAGCCACAUGGAGCUGGGAAAUGUGAUCGACUUGAAGAAGAAUGAAUACGGUGAAGAUUGGAAAGAAGACAUGAGCUGAUCAACUUAGUAGGAGUAAGGAAAACCCUUUUUUUUUUUUUUUGAGACAGAGUCUCACUCUGUUACCAGGCUGGAGUGUGAUGGCGCAAUCUCCGCUUACUGCAACCUCCGCCUUCUAGGUUCAAGAGAUUCUCCUGCCUCAGCCUCCCAAGUAGCUGGGAUUACAGGCACACUCCACCAUGCCUGGCUAAUUUCUGUAUUUUUAGGCUGGGGUUUCACCAUGUUGGCCAGGAUGGUUUUGAUCUCCUGACUUCAUGAUCCGCCCGCCUCGGCCUCCCAAAGUGCUGGGAUUACAGGCAUGAGCCACUGUGCCCAGCUGGAAAACAUGUCUUUUAAAUAUCGAAGGAGAAGUGGAUACACACCAAAUCAUUUCUCUUCCCCAUUGUAUCCUAUAGGGAGCCAAAAUACUCACCUUAUAGUAGUGAAAAUCGGAGGAAAUGAUGGACCUGAGGAAAGAUGAGUCUCCAAUAAAGCAGGAUGUGGCUUGUUGUUUCUGAUCUAAUCAGGAGGUUUAGGGGCCGGCUGUGCUGAAAUGAUAUCCAUAAGCCCUAUUUGAGUGGCCCAACUGUAUUUAACCCAACCUGAAUUCACAGAAAAGUUUGUCCUUCUAGAAUCAUAGUACAUGAAGGAGUAAACCUUAAGGGGUAGGGAUGGUUGGAAAAAUUUGUGUGUCAGAUUCCUGAAAGGUUUGAUGAGAUAGGGAGGCUGCAUGUAAAUCUCAAUCUGGUUAUUUACUGGUUGUGUGAACCAGAAAAAAGUGUGCAAAUAAUAACACCUCACAGGAUUGUGGUUUUUUUGGUUGUUGUUGUUUGUUUGUUUUUGUUUUGUUUUGAGACAGGGUCUCCCUUUGUUGUCCAGGCUGGAAUGCAGUGGCACAAUCAGGGCUCACUUGAGUCUUGACCUGCUGGGCUCAGGUGAUUCUCCCACCUCAGCCUCCUGGGUGGCUGGGGCUACAGGUGCACACCACCAUGCCCAACUAAUUUUUUAAAUUUUUUUUUUGUAGAGAUGGGGUUUUGCUAUGUUUCCCAAGCUAUUCUGUAACCCCUGGGCUCAAGUUAUUCUCGACCUUCCAAAGUGUUGGGAUUACAGGUGUGAACCACUAUGCCUGGCCUCAAAGCGUUGUUAAAAGCAUUGAGACACUGUAGGUAAAACACUUAGUGCCAGGCACAUUGUAUGAGCUUAAUACAUGUUAGUUCGUGUUAACACAUAAGCAGUCUGUAGCAUGGGAUGCAAAAACUGAAAUUAUUGCAUGGUUGAACCAUAUAAUGUUGCCAGCAGUCACCUUUGACUUACAAAAAUAGUGAUUUCAUUCUCUUUGUUUCUUCCCUCCUUCCCUCUCUUCCUUCUACCUCUCUCUCUCUCUCUCUCUCUCUUUCUCUCUCUCUCUCAACAGGGUCUUACUCUAUUGCCCAGGCUGGAGUGCACUGGUGUGAUCAUAGCACAUGGCAGCUUCAAACUCCUAGUAGCUAGGACUACAGGCGUGUGCCACCAUGCCCAGCUAAUUUUUAAAUUUGUUGUACAGACAAGGUCUCUCUGCAUUGCCCAGGCUGUUCUAGAACUCCUGUUCAAGCAAUCUUCCUGCCUAGGCUGCCCAAAGUGCUGAGAUUACAGGUGUGAGCCAUGCGCCUGGCCAAUUUCAUAUAUUCCCACUAAACUUUCCUCUUCCUUCCAUAUAUAUAUAAUAUUACAUAUCUUACAUAUGUACAAAAGAUUAUAUAUUCCAUUACAUAUCUUAUAUACAUAUGAAACACAUAUAUAUGCCAUAUAUAUGAUAUGAAAUAUAUAUAGUAACAUAUAUAAACUGGGAGAUAAGGUGAUAAGUUGUAGUACUGUGCCUCACCUGCUCAUUACCCUGUGGUAAGCUCCUUAUGUCUUCAGAGAAUUCCUGGGGCAUGAAUGUGUCUCCUUGUGUAACAAGUGAUCAAUGCUUCUUUAGAAUAAAGAAAAAACCCAAACUAUGAAACAGAACUGGCAUUUUCUAAAAGGACACAAAAGCCAAGGCAAGAACAAAGGAAGCAGUACGGGAAAGUUGGGGUGUGGGGACAACUCUUUCAGAGUGAUAGGAGAGUGUGCCCAGACCUUGGCCCGCCCCGGCCACACUGCUCCCCAGACUACCUGCAUCCAUUCCCACAGUGCGCUCUUUGCUAUCUCCCUUCUAGAAACCAGACUAGGCUGAAAAGCCAGGAUAAAUGGAUAUAGUGCCCCCGAGUCUCUAAUUUCUGGGCACCUCAG